This 468-nucleotide ribosomal RNA is filed under the name uncultured bacterium. RNAcentral describes it as "partial 16S ribosomal RNA". It matches the Rfam family "Bacterial small subunit ribosomal RNA", at positions 28 to 507 of the family's 1533-position model. The record is from RNAcentral.
GACGAACGCUGGCGGCGUGCUUAACACAUGCAAGUCGAACGGAAAGGCCCUGCUUUUGUGGGGUGCUCGAGUGGCGAACGGGUGAGUAACACGUGAGUAACCUGCCCUUGACUUUGGGAUAACUUCAGGAAACUGGGGCUAAUACAGGAUAGGAGCUCCUGCUGCAUGGUGGGGGUUGGAAAGUUUCGGCGGUUGGGGAUGGACUCGCGGCUUAUCAGCUUGUUGGUGGGGUAGUGGCUUACCAAGGCUUUGACGGGUAGCCGGCCUGGGAGGGUGACCGGCCACAUUGGGACUGAGAUACGGCCCAGACUCCUACGGGAGGCAGCAGUGGGGAAUAUUGCACAAUGGGCGGAAGCCUGAUGCAGCAACGCCGCGUGCGGGAUGACGGCCUUCGGGUUGUAAACCGCUUUCGCCUGUGACGAAGCGUGAGUGACGGUAAUGGGUAAAGAAGCACCGGCUAACUACGUG